UGGGGAAUAUUGGACAAUGGGCGCAAGCCUGAUCCAGCCAUGCCGCGUGAGUGAUGAAGGCCCUAGGGUUGUAAAGCUCUUUCACCGGUGAAGAUAAUGACGGUAACCGGAGAAGAAGCUCCGGCUAACUCCGUGCCAGCAGCCGCGGUAAUACGAAGGGGGCUAGCGUUGUUCGGAUUUACUGGGCGUAAAGCGCACGUAGGCGGACUAUUAAGUCAGGGGUGAAAUCCCGGGGCUCAACCCCGGAACUGCCUUUGAUACUGGUAGUCUAGAGUUCGAGAGAGGUGAGUGGAAUUCCGAGUGUAGAGGUGAAAUUCGUAGAUAUUCGGAGGAACACCAGUGGCGAAGGCGGCUCACUGGCUCGAUACUGACGCUGAGGUGCGAAAGCGGGGGGAGCAAACAGG
This 404-nucleotide ribosomal RNA is filed under the name Actinomycetes bacterium. Its description in RNAcentral is "Actinobacteria bacterium partial 16S ribosomal RNA". It matches the Rfam family "Bacterial small subunit ribosomal RNA", at positions 355 to 776 of the family's 1533-position model. Lineage: Bacteria; Bacillati; Actinomycetota; Actinomycetes. The record is from RNAcentral.